RNAcentral lists this transfer RNA (65 nucleotides) under Busonia albilateralis. Its description in RNAcentral is "tRNA-Met". The record is from RNAcentral. Lineage: Eukaryota; Metazoa; Arthropoda; Insecta; Hemiptera; Cicadellidae.
UGAAAAGAUAAGCUAAGAUUAAGCUAGUAGGUUCAUACCCUAAAUAUAGAAUUUCUUCUUUUUAA